GACUACAUGAAGCUGGAAUCGCUAGUAAUCGCGAAUCAGAAUGUCGCGGUGAAUACGUUCCCGGGUCUUGUACACACCGCCCGUCACACCAUGGGAGUCGGAAAUGCCCGAAGUCAGUGACCCAACCGUAAGGAGGGAGCUGCCGAAGGUGGAGCCGGUAACUGGGGUGAAGUCGUAACAAGGUAGC
RNAcentral lists this ribosomal RNA (187 nucleotides) under uncultured bacterium. RNAcentral's name for it is "partial 16S ribosomal RNA". It matches the Rfam family "Bacterial small subunit ribosomal RNA", at positions 1314 to 1500 of the family's 1533-position model. The record is from RNAcentral.